Molecule: ribosomal RNA, 888 nt
Filed under: Flavobacteriaceae bacterium 1tc2
Lineage: Bacteria; Pseudomonadati; Bacteroidota; Flavobacteriia; Flavobacteriales; Flavobacteriaceae
Description: bacterial SSU rRNA
Rfam family: Bacterial small subunit ribosomal RNA
Source: RNAcentral
UGCAGUCGAGGGGUAACAUGGUUGCUUGCAACUGAUGACGACCGGCGCACGGGUGCGUAACGCGUAUAGAACCUACCUUAUAGUAAGGGAUAGCCCAGAGAAAUUUGGAUUAAUACCUUAUAGUAUCUUAAGUAAGCAUUUACUAAGGAUUAAAGAUUUAUUGCUAUAAGAUGGCUAUGCGUUCUAUUAGCUAGUUGGUAUGGUAACGGCAUACCAAGGCUACGAUAGAUAGGGGUCCUGAGAGGGAGAUCCCCCACACUGGUACUGAGACACGGACCAGACUCCUACGGGAGGCAGCAGUGAGGAAUAUUGGACAAUGGAGGCAACUCUGAUCCAGCCAUGCCGCGUGUAGGAAGACUGCCCUAUGGGUUGUAAACUACUUUUAUAGAGGAAGAAACCGCAAUACGUGUAUUGCUCUGACGGUACUCUACGAAUAAGGAUCGGCUAACUCCGUGCCAGCAGCCGCGGUAAUACGGAGGAUCCAAGCGUUAUCCGGAAUCAUUGGGUUUAAAGGGUCCGUAGGCGGGUCUAUAAGUCAGUGGUGAAAGUUUGCGGCUCAACCGUAAAAUUGCCAUUGAUACUGUAGGUCUUGAAUUAUUGUGAAGUGGUUAGAAUGUGUAGUGUAGCGGUGAAAUGCAUAGAUAUUACACAGAAUACCGAUUGCGAAGGCAGAUCACUAACAAUUGAUUGACGCUAAGGGACGAAAGCGUGGGUAGCGAACAGGAUUAGAUACCCUGGUAGUCCACGCCGUAAACGAUGGUUACUAGCUGUUUGGUUUUUAACUGAGUGGCUAAGCGAAAGUGAUAAGUAACCCACCUGGGGAGUACGUUCGCAAGAAUGAAACUCAAAGGAAUUGACGGGGGCCCGCACAAGCGGUGGAGCAUGUGG